RNAcentral lists this RNase P RNA (380 nucleotides) under Fructilactobacillus fructivorans. RNAcentral describes it as "Lactobacillus fructivorans Bacterial RNase P class B". It matches the Rfam family "Bacterial RNase P class B". Rfam says of the family: Ribonuclease P (RNase P) is a ubiquitous endoribonuclease, found in archaea, bacteria and eukarya as well as chloroplasts and mitochondria. Its best characterised activity is the generation of mature 5'-ends of tRNAs by cleaving the 5'-leader elements of precursor-tRNAs. Cellular RNase Ps are ribonucleoproteins. The record is from Rfam by way of RNAcentral. RNAcentral also lists the same sequence under 1 other name. Lineage: Bacteria; Bacillati; Bacillota; Bacilli; Lactobacillales; Lactobacillaceae.
GGUCCUGAGUAAUCGCGGUCAAUGAAUGUUGGCUGAGGAAAGUCCACUCUCGCACAAGCUGAGAUGCUUGUAGUGUUCGUGCUCGGUGAAAAAAUAAGCCGAGGAAUCAUUAAGUUGAUUACGGCGAAAGAACGAGCUAAGGUUAUUGUUACUAUGCUUUAGUAUUUCAUAAAGUGCCACAGAAACGACUAAUUUGAGAAAUCAAAUUAUUGGAACGCAGUAAACCCCGCGAGCGGGAAACCCAAACUUUGGUAGGGGAGCUUCACACACGGAAAUUGAACCAAGUGUGGGGGAAGAACAUUAUGUUCUUGAGAUAGAUGAUUACUACUUAAUCACUUUGUCCUGAAGUUGUGGUUAAGCACAAAACAUGGCUUACAGGG